UUAGGAGAUUUUUUUGUUAAGGUCGGAAAAAAAUAGUAAAAAGUUGAAAUUUGCAGUAUGCAAUCCUUUAACCGUUCUCAACAACAUACUAAAAGUCCUCAUGUAUCCCGCUUGAGCUUUUGUUGUAUUAACGCCAGAACCAUACACUACCUUUGAACGGAAAUUUUGGCAGAUUGAAUACAUUUUGUUGGAUUUGGUUGGAUUUGGCAGUUCAAAAGUGGAAGCACUGACAAUAACAAUUGUCUGCAGACGCUGCGAAUUGAAAAUAUCUCAGUUAAAAAAAUACUUUCGUAAAAUGGUAAACAAUCGAAGGAGCAAUAUGCUGAGAAGUUCGAAGAAACGUUUUGAAGUGGAAAGAGUUAUUUUUCGCAGAUAUCAUCGUAGAAAGGUGUGCAUAAUAUGUUUUCAUGAGCGCUCAAAAUAUUUAUAUUACAAUGUCAAUGACAUUGACAACGACAGUCUAUUUAUUGUAUUUCACUGUCUCUUGUUUUACUUAAAAAACUUAGAUUGGAAACUUUUUCGGGCUGUUUAUUAUCGUUUAUUAAUGACUUGUCAUGUUUAGGUAGAAUAUUAUGUAAAAUGGAAAGGGUAUAGUUCUUUAGCAAACACGUGGGAGCCUGAGGGGAAUCUUAAUGCAGCUGCAAUCAGAGCUUAUAAUAAUCCACAACCUUCACUUGAAGCUAUUGAGGAAGGGAGAGAUUUCUUACUUUGUGGAAUACAAAAACAGCUGAAAUCGAGAAGCACUGUACCAACUGUCAUCUCAUUUCGGCGUGAUGUGUUUAAUUAUCUUUUCAAUGGAAAGGGGAAACCAGGCAAUGACAGAAAUUCACUUCUACUUGAAAGAAAUGAUUUUAAUCAUUUCCGUAAUUUUCCAAACAAUUGGGAUAAAAUUGUGGACAACAUUGGAGACGGAUUAAAGAUAGAUUUUCCUAUAAAGCUACGCUCAUUCUUGUCUUGGGGUCCACAAACACAUACUUCUUUUGAUGGAAAGUUUUUACCGUGCCCAAGAUAUCGCCCAGAAAAGUUAAGCAUUUCAAUACGUAAAAAAUCAUUUACUCUUUCUAUUGAAUAUUAAAAGCUUAUUUAACGCACUUAACUCUUAUGCAUGUUGUGUUCUAAAAAUAUUACUAAGUAGCAAUAACUUUAACAUUAAUGACACUAAGUCUAUUACACUGCACCGUUUUCGUAGCGUUUUCGUAUUGUUUAAGAGAAUUAGACUAUUGUCUUGUGCCCCCUUGAGGAUUAAGAACAAUACAAAAACGCUACGAAAACGGUGCAGUGUAAAGGUAGCCUAAAUACGAAGGAACUGUAAAUGUCACUGUUUCAGUCAUGUUAUAAAUAAUGGUAAAUAACUUUGUCUUUGUUUAUGAAACGGUUUACAUUAAAAGAAAACCAGUUAUGUUUAUAAGUUUAAAUGAUUCACUACUAAACUAGUUUUUUCUCUUCGUUUUAAUUUUGUAUUACAAAUAUUCCUUACUCAAAUCCUUACUCAUCCUACCUUUAAUCUUCAAUCUUUAUGCACAUUGCACCAAAUGCAUGCGUAGUUCGAUGUGACACAUUUAAUCCCAAAGCAAUAAAAGUUUUAUA
This is a long non-coding RNA of Dendronephthya gigantea, 1587 nucleotides long. RefSeq lists it as uncharacterized. The transcript is spliced from 3 exons. The record is from RefSeq and is a predicted model, not a curated record. Lineage: Eukaryota; Metazoa; Cnidaria; Anthozoa; Malacalcyonacea; Nephtheidae.